CUUCCUUCUUUCCCUCCCACCUGUCCCCUCAGUCCCAAUCCCAAGCGUCACUGAGUCUUUCUAAUCUUCCUUUUCUACAGACCUAUCUGACCUCUCCCCUCCUGGCCAGGCCGAGCUAGGUCCCAAUUCUUCCUCAGCCUCAGCUCCUCCACCCUAUAAUCCUUUUAUCACCUCCCCUCCUCACACCCAGUCAGGCUUACAGUUUCCUUCCAUGACUAGCCCUCCCCCACCUGCCCAGCAAUUUACUCUUAAAAAGGUGGCUGGAGCUAAAGGCAUAGUCAAGGUUAAUGCUCCUUUUUCUUUAUCCCAAAUCAGAUAGCAUUUAGGCUCUUUUUCAUCAAAUAUAAAAAUCCAGCCCAGUUCAUGACUUGUUUGGCAGCAACCCUGAGACACUUUACAGCUCUAGACCCUAAAAUGUCAAAAGGCCGUCUUAUUCUCAAAAUACAUUUUAUUACCCAAUCUGCUCCCGACAUUAAAUAAAACUCCAAAAAUUAAAUUCCGGCCCUCAAACCCCACAACAGGAUUUAAUUAGCCUCACCUUCAAGGUGUACAAUAAUAGAAAACAGUUGCAAUUCCUUGCCUCCACUGUGAGACAAACCCCAGCCACAUCUCCAGCACACAAGAACUUCCAAACACCUGAACCGCAGCAGCCAGGCAUUCCUCCAGAACCUCCUCCCCCAGUAGCUUGCUACAAGUGCCAGAAAUCUGGCCACCAGGCCAAGGAAUACCUGCAGCCCAGGAUUCCUCCUAAGCCACGUCCCAUCUGUGCGGGACCCCACUGGAAAUCGGACUGUCCAACUCACCUGGCAGCCACUCCCAGAGCCCCUGGAACUCUGGCCCAAGGCUCUGACUCCUUCCUGGGUCUUCUUGGCUUAGCAGCUGAAGACUGAUGGUGGCUGAUGGCCUCGGAAGCCCCCUAGACCAUCACGGAUGCCAAGCUUCCAGUAACUCUCACAGUGGAGGGGACAUGGAUGGAGCUGGAGGCCAUUACCCUUAGAAAACUAGCAGAACAGAAAAUCACAUCUUCUCACUUCUAAACUAAAGGAACAGGAAAUCACAUCUUCUCACCUCUAAGUGGGAGCUAAAUGAUGGGAACACAUGGACACAGAGAAGAACAACACACACUGGGGCCUAUUCGAGGGUGCAGGGUGGGAGGAAGAGAGGAGCAGUAUAAAUAACUAAUAGGUACUAAGCUUAAUACAUGGCUGAUGAAAUAAUAUGUUCAACAAGCCUCCACAACACGAAUUUACCUAUAUAACAAACUUGCAUAUGUACCCCUGAACUUAGAAUAAAAGUCAAAUUUUAAAACU
This 1310-nucleotide long non-coding RNA is filed under the name Homo sapiens (human). RNAcentral's name for it is "HSALNT0078053". The record is from RNAcentral. Lineage: Eukaryota; Metazoa; Chordata; Mammalia; Primates; Hominidae.